Molecule: ribosomal RNA, 190 nt
Filed under: Lactococcus lactis
Lineage: Bacteria; Bacillati; Bacillota; Bacilli; Lactobacillales; Streptococcaceae
Description: partial 16S ribosomal RNA
Rfam family: Bacterial small subunit ribosomal RNA
Source: RNAcentral
GCGAGCGCAGGUGGUUUAUUAAGUCUGGUGUAAAAGGCAGUGGCUCAACCAUUGUAUGCAUUGGAAACUGGUAGACUUGAGUGCAGGAGAGGAGAGUGGAAUUCCAUGUGUAGCGGUGAAAUGCGUAGAUAUAUGGAGGAACACCGGUGGCGAAAGCGGCUCUCUGGCCUGUAACUGACACUGAGGCUCG